GCCGUAUUGAAUCAGGUCGCUGGCCGCAUACGACCCACCCGUGCCAGCCUUUGGCCAGGCCUAAUCUGCCUCAUUGUUCUGUCUGUGGUAGUGUACAAAUAGAUGUAGUUAAUCUGAUGUCCAGCGGGGGCAGUGUUGCUUCAGUCAUCUAUCCUGUAGCUUAGUUCAUGAUGACAAACAGGCAGCUGCUCUCCCCUAGAGAACACUGAAUAUAUUCCUCUGCUGUUGAACAAUACAAUGAUGGUCGGAGCUUCUGUUAACUUCUCCAUACUACUGCUCCUGUUGCCAGGUGUGAUACAGACAGUGGAGAUCAGCCAGUGGCCCAGUUCCAUCUGUAGCCAUCCCAACACCUCCAUGGACAUGCACUGUUCUCAGGACGCAGGCUAUGACUACAUGUACUGGUACAGGCACCUCCAGGGAGAGGGCCCUAAACUAAUGGCCACGCUCGUAGCUGGAUCAGCAAGCUAUGAGACAGAGUUUAAGUCUGGCUUCAGAGUCUGGAGAACAGAAAACUCAGAGGGAAUGAGCUCAGUAAGGCAGUGGUCUCUGACAGUACAGAUGGUGCAGAGAAAGGACCAGGCAGUGUAUCUGUGUGCUGCUAGUCCACACAGUGAAGCAGGCAUGCUCAACUCUGUCACAAUAUCACAUUUUGGGAGGCUGCCAAGGAGGCUCUGUCUGGCAGCUGGCUGAUGUUACCUGGCAGGGUUUAUAUCUCUCUACACCUGACUGAUGUUACCUGGCAGGGUUUAUAUCUCUCUACACCUGACUGAUGUUACCUGGCAGGGUUUAUAUCUCUCUACACCUGACUGAUGUUACCUGGCAGGGUUUAUAU
Molecule: non-coding RNA, 832 nt
Organism: Salmo salar (Atlantic salmon)
Lineage: Eukaryota; Metazoa; Chordata; Actinopteri; Salmoniformes; Salmonidae
Source: the annotation of a RefSeq genome assembly